AUACUACUCCCUCCGUUCGGAAAUACUUGUCGGAGGAAUGGAUGUAUCUAGACAUAUUUUAAUUCUAGAUACAUCCAUUGAUAUGCAUUUCUGCGACAAAUAUUUCCGGACGGAGGAAGUAUUUA
Triticum aestivum (bread wheat) is the source of this 125-nucleotide non-coding RNA. The record is from Rfam. Lineage: Eukaryota; Viridiplantae; Streptophyta; Magnoliopsida; Poales; Poaceae.